GGUUGGCAGUUGUGGGGCUUUUGCACUUACAGAGUGGUGGCCUGAGUGACAUUAAGAACUGUCGCAGUGGAGGCUGAGACCAAUUUUAAUGCUAACAUUCAUGGCUGUAGUAACGACUAUCCUUUCAUGCACCCAGAAGAAUCACUUGUUGAUUGCAGCAACCAUCACCAUGAAGCAGCAGUAGCAUGAUGUAAUGCAGGCUGGGACGGGUGGAGAGCUUCCCUGGAUUAUACAGGUUUUGGCUGCAUUAACAGGCAGAAGCGACACAGCACGUUCUGGACACCCAGCUUCUCAUAGAAUUUGUGGAGUUCAUCAUUCUUAGAGAAGGAGCAAUCUGAGUUCUGGUUCCAGCACCAAGCCAAAGGCAAGCAUGGCUGGUCUUUCAUAAUGAGUAAGCCUCCUGAGGGGUUCUGGGACAUAUCAAGAUAGGAGAACCUAGUGGAAAAGAGACUAUGAUCUUCCUGUUAACGCGGGCAUGAGUGUUGCACUUUGGAUUCGUCCUGGGAGAUUAUUCGCCAAACUGAAACUUGGGCACUCCACUUACAUAGGAGAAAUCGAAGGCAUUCAAGAGACUGAGGACUGUGUUGCAGACCCGCCAAGAGCCUGUUUGCAUCUGGAUUGAAUUACCUCCGGAAGAAGAAUUUAUCCCACAGGAAGAGAGGGGGGGCCCUCGAGUGUAUCCUAGACGAGUACUCGCGUCAGGAGGAGGAUGACUUCUGAAGACAGCAGCGUCUGUCCCUGGGCUCCGCUUGCCUACCCUGGCCUUUGCCUGAGGCCAUGGGGUGGCAGCAAGACAGAGGGGCCUGGAUCAGGGUGUGACAUCCGCCAGCAGCGGAAGAUUUUGCCAGCGCUGGUGGCACUGUUCCUCUGGGUGUUAGUGGCUGCGUCUGAGCUGGCGGCUGCAGCACGGCAGGGAGGGCCAGCAUCAACAGCCAGUGCCAUCAUGGCGCUGGGCGGAUUCUGGGGCCGUAACCAUGGAGCCAGGACAGAGCAGGGAUAGUGGAGAAAAUGUUGGCUAUGACACAGCAGCUAAUAGUGCUAUGAGCGUGGGACACACACCUGCAAAUUCUUGGGUAUAAUUAGGGGACUUUGUCAGGUCCCAGGGGGACCAAACAGUGAGUAGUGUUGCAAAAGACUGUUAGGGAUGCAGCAUAGACCAUAGAAACAGACUGUGUGGGUUUAAAUCCUGCCUCCGCUGCUCGUCAGCUAUGUCCACAACCUCAUCUCUACUUCCUCGUUAGUGGCAUUUACCUACCUCAAGUUGUUAUGAGGGAGGAUGAAAUAGUCUUUUUCUCUGUACAGGAGACUUUGACAAUUUUGCCUCAUUAGGACUAAAGCCAAAUGUGCUAGUUAAUCAGAAUAUGAAAUUUUAGCGAUCAAUAUUCCUUCAGAAGCAUUCUUUUUUUCCCUCAGGCUGUUUUACUUAAAUUUACUUUAAUUUGGGCUUUGCUAAGACUUUGAUUGUAAGCUGGAUCUGAAACAGAGGCUUUGUUUCACCAACACCUUUUACUCCUGUCUCUUCUUCAACACGUCCUUUGCUUCUCACUGAGUGUUGGGGUAAGGAUAAGUACAUUAUCUUAAUUGUCUACAUGUAUGCCUAUGUCCAUACGCUCAUCUGUGUCCAUACCCACACAACUGUCUAUCCCUCUCUAUUCUCUCCCUGUCUCUCUCUUCACACUGUGAUAGAUUCUGGCAAGAUGAAUGCAACAGUACUUCUGUCCAUGUAUGCUUGCCACUUAGCACUGUCACUUUUGCCACUCUUCCCAUCAAGAUGGAGGGCCUAUUUCCCCAUCCUCUUAAUACGGCUGGCCUCGCGACUUGCUCUCGUCAAUAGAAUGAGGCAGAAGUGAUGUUGUGUGGCUUUAAAGACUAUGUCAUAAAAGGCCUUGCAGGAGGCAGGACUUCCAGAAUGGCCAGAAACAAGAGUCUCUCUUCUUCAGAGAGAAGCUUAGCACAUACUUGUCCUAAAAAACAAUAAUAAAACCAGAUAAAAAUUUGCAAAAACAAUUUUAAGACGCUGGAAAUUGACCAAGGACAACAACUUGAGAAGCUCUGGUUGAAGAAAAACUACAGAACCGCUCUAAGAAUGGUGGGAGUGUGGCGUUUCAGGCGGGGCUGCCUCCAGUCUGUGUCCCAGGCCCCAUCAGCUCCACAUCACAGAAUUCUGCAAGGGUGGGGCCGGCUGCGAAGACAGGCAGCCUCAGGGCCUCAGCAGGCUAGUUGAUUUGGAAUAGAAUGCAGAAAAACACAUGCCUAGGGGUACUGAUAAAAAGAGUAAUGAUCUCUGCAGAAAUGCAGGGAGGCCAACAUGGCUUGGUCUGAGAUCACACUGGUUGGAACAAGUAACAGAUCAGCAGGUCAGCAAGAAAUUUAACAAGGAGCCUGAGAAAUGAAAGCUGAGAGCACUGCAUUAGGGAAUCACUAAAUUAAUCUAGCUGGUUGCAGGAAAUAAGGUCAAUAAACAAAAAUCAACAGUUUUUCUAUAUGUCAACAAUAAAAACUGAAAACUGAAGUUAAAAAUACCAUUCUCUAGCUUCCAAAUACAUUAAAUAGUGAGGGAUAAAUUUAUCAAAAUGUGUGCAAAACCUGUACACUGAAAGUCAUAGAACUUUGCUGAGAAAUUAAUGUCACCAAAUAAAUGGAUAGAUAUACCAUGUUCAUAAAUUGGAAGACAAUAUUUUUAAGAUGUCACUUCUCCCAUAUUGAUCUUGGGAUUCAACUCAAUCCCAGUCAAAAUCCUAAUGGGCUUUUUUUGGUAGAAAUUUAAAGCCAGUUCAAAAUUUGAUAUAAAAACACAAAAACCUAGAUGCACCAAAACAAUUGUGAGAGAGAACAAAGUUUUGGAGAAUUUAUACUGCCUGAUUUCAAGGUUUGUUAUAAAGCUACAGUAACAGAAAACAUGAGGUAUUCAUAUAAGAAUAGAUAUAUAGAACAAUGAAAGAGAAUAAAGAGACUAGAGAUAAAUCUACAUACAUAUAGACAGUUAAUUUUUACCCAGUAAAAAUUAUCAAAGAUAUCAACAUAAUUCAUAUAGAAAUGGUAAUUUUUUUAACAAGUAGUACUGAAAUAACUGGAUAGAAGAUACCAGUUGUAUAGAAGAAAAUGAAUUUUGACUCAUAAUACUUUACUAUAUAAAAAAAAUAAUGUGAAUUGAUCAGAGACCUGAAUAAAAAAUUAAAACUAUGAAACUCCUAGAUGAAAAUAUUUGGGACAAGCAGAGGUUUCUUAGGGCACAAAAGGUAUUAAAUAUAAAAGAAAGAGUUGAUAAAUUGGACUUUAUUAAAAACCUCUGCUCUUCAAAAUAUACCACAAAGAAUAUGAUAAAGCAAGCUAUAGACUAGAAGCAACAAAAUUAGAAACAACUUGAUUUUGUUUAGUAAAUUUGAGGACUUGCAUGUCCCAUGAUCCAACAAUUCCAUUCUUAAAGUUUAUACCCUAGAGAAACAAUUAAAUGCUCCAGGCAUAGUGUGUGUGUUUAUUGGGGCACGAGUUUAUCUCCAUCUCAAAAUCCCACUGGGUCCCUAGCCCACCCCUCAACAUCCAUCCCACCACCUCCUCCCACCAAAGAACCCACCAAACUUUGUUAAUAGGAUCUUCUCAUUUCUUUCUAGUCCUUCUUUCAGGGCCACUGACCUUCUGGCCCCACCUCCACAUGCCCAGGCCCUGUCAUCUCCAGGGUUCUUAAGUAUACCCUGACAAAAUCUUACUCGCAUGGGUGUGUCUGUGUGUGUAGUUUUUCUCAACUGAUACUCAAAACCUCCUUCCUUGACAUUUUUUCCCAUCUCAUAAUGUUCGUGACUCAACUAGACUUUGAAAGGAAAAGAAGUGAAAUAAGCUAAUGGCCUAACGACGCCCCAGGUUCCAAGUAUGUACAUUUGCCAGGCACCACUAACUGAUCUGGGAGACCUUUCAUCCAUGCUCCCAGGAGCAUGGGGGCACCAGGGGCCCUCGGCAAUGACCCUCACCUUGGCUUCCAGGCCAGUAUGGGUUGUUGUGACUGCCCUUGCAGUGUACCUGGACCUUCCCUGCUGCAAGAACUUACUGUCGAGAGAAGAAACUUUGGUUGAAGAGCAAGUACGCCUAGUGUAAAGCCACAGGGACAUUUUCCUGUGUCAGUCCUUCUGAGGGGACAAUGACUUAGGUUGUCCUGUUGCACGAACGUUUCCUGAUUUCAGUUGGGAAGUACACGAAGCCACUUCCCUCAGACAACUAGAUUGCCGUUUUCCUUACAGAGAGGGAAACUCCCCCUAGUUAGUUUUGCUAUGAGAUAUGGCCUCUCCUGUUGUCAACUCUGUCGAAUCAGUGUGGUGCAUUAGGAAUAAGUUUACGAGAACUUAACUGAGAAACCCAGUGUGGGAGAGGGGAGAAUUCCCCCUCUUUCCUCUCUUGGUUCUUACGGCUGGUAGAAUAAUUAAAAUGUCUGAUUAACAAGACAUUAAAAGGAGAAAAUCCAAUUUAUUAGGUACACACAGUAACCCCACAUACAUGAGAAAGUCAGAGAUCUCAAAUACAUGAGCGGUUCAGAGGCAGAAAGGUAAAAUGGGGUAUUUAUGCCACCUCAAGCUAAGGAAUGGGAUAGGAGCCUGGAGCUUCAGAGAGGAGGAGAGUGACUCACAGACGAUAAGAAGAGCAGUAAUUAGAGGUUUGCCCUGCCGUACAGAUAGGUCAUAAAAAGUCAUUUCUGAUAAUAGCUCUCAUUAUGGGCAAGGCCCUCGAUUUAAAUUCUUUCAGGAGAGGUGAGAGUUUCUCUUGAGUCUGCAGGGUCUCAGUUGCCUUCGGCUCAGAAUACUCCAUGUGCCAAUGCUGCACAUGCUGGGGAGGCCCGCCCUGCACCUCAGCACCAGUGAGGC
This 4850-nucleotide long non-coding RNA is filed under the name Equus caballus (horse). Its description in RNAcentral is "lncRNA (ENSECAG00000048289.1)". Lineage: Eukaryota; Metazoa; Chordata; Mammalia; Perissodactyla; Equidae. The record is from RNAcentral.